AUGCAGUCGAACGAGUUCUGAUUAUUGAAAGGUGCUUGCAUCUUGAUUUAAUUUUGAACGAGUGGCGGACGGGUGAGUAACACGUGGGUAACCUGCCCUUAAGUGGGGGAUAACAUUUGGAAACAGAUGCUAAUACCGCAUAAAUCCAAGAACCGCAUGGUUCUUGGCUGAAAGAUGGCGUAAGCUAUCGCUUUUGGAUGGACCCGCGGCGUAUUAGCUAGUUGGUGAGGUAACGGCUCACCAAGGCAAUGAUACGUAGCCGAACUGAGAGGUUGAUCGGCCACAUUGGGACUGAGACACGGCCCAAACUCCUACGGGAGGCAGCAGUAGGGAAUCUUCCACAAUGGACGCAAGUCUGAUGGAGCAACGCCGCGUGAGUGAAGAAGGCUUUCGGGUCGUAAAACUCUGUUGUUGGAGAAGAAUGGUCGGCAGAGUAACUGUUGUCGGCGUGACGGUAUCCAACCAGAAAGCCACGGCUAACUACGUGCCAGCAGCCGCGGUAAUACGUAGGUGGCAAGCGUUAUCCGGAUUUAUUGGGCGUAAAGCGAGCGCAGGCGGUUUUUUAAGUCUGAUGUGAAAGCCCUCGGCUUAACCGAGGAAGUGCAUCGGAAACUGGGAAACUUGAGUGCAGAAGAGGACAGUGGAACUCCAUGUGUAGCGGUGAAAUGCGUAGAUAUAUGGAAGAACACCAGUGGCGAAGGCGGCUGUCUGGUCUGUAACUGACGCUGAGGCUCGAAAGCAUGGGUAGCGAACAGGAUUAGAUACCCUGGUAGUCCAUGCCGUAAACGAUGAAUGCUAGGUGUUGGAGGGUUUCCGCCCUUCAGUGCCGCAGCUAACGCAUUAAGCAUUCCGCCUGGGGAGUACGACCGCAAGGUUGAAACUCAAAGGAAUUGACGGGGGCCCGCACAAGCGGUGGAGCAUGUGGUUUAAUUCGAAGCAACGCGAAGAACCUUACCAGGUCUUGACAUCUUUUGAUCACCUGAGAGAUCAGGUUUCCCCUUCGGGGGCAAAAUGACAGGUGGUGCAUGGUUGUCGUCAGCUCGUGUCGUGAGAUGUUGGGUUAAGUCCCGCAACGAGCGCAACCCUUAUGACUAGUUGCCAGCAUUUAGUUGGGCACUCUAGUAAGACUGCCGGUGACAAACCGGAGGAAGGUGGGGAUGACGUCAAAUCAUCAUGCCCCUUAUGACCUGGGCUACACACGUGCUACAAUGGAUGGUACAACGAGUUGCGAGACCGCGAGGUCAAGCUAAUCUCUUAAAGCCAUUCUCAGUUCGGACUGUAGGCUGCAACUCGCCUACACGAAGUCGGAAUCGCUAGUAAUCGCGGAUCAGCACGCCGCGGUGAAUACGUUCCCGGGCCUUGUACACACCGCCCGUCACACCAUGAGAGUUUGUAACACCCGAAGCCGGUGGCGUAACCCUUUUAGGGAGCGAGCCGUCUAAG
RNAcentral lists this ribosomal RNA (1443 nucleotides) under Lacticaseibacillus rhamnosus. RNAcentral's name for it is "bacterial SSU rRNA". It matches the Rfam family "Bacterial small subunit ribosomal RNA". The record is from RNAcentral. Lineage: Bacteria; Bacillati; Bacillota; Bacilli; Lactobacillales; Lactobacillaceae.